Molecule: ribosomal RNA, 428 nt
Filed under: Actinomycetes bacterium
Lineage: Bacteria; Bacillati; Actinomycetota; Actinomycetes
Description: Actinobacteria bacterium partial 16S ribosomal RNA
Rfam family: Bacterial small subunit ribosomal RNA
Source: RNAcentral
UAGGGAAUCUUCCCAAUGGGCGAAAGCCUGACGGAGCAACGCCGCGUGAGUGAUGAAGGUCUUCGGAUCGUAAAACUCUGUUAUUAGGGAAGAACAAAUGUGUAAGUAACUAUGCACGUCUUGACGGUACCUAAUCAGAAAGCCACGGCUAACUACGUGCCAGCAGCCGCGGUAAUACGUAGGUGGCAAGCGUUAUCCGGAAUUAUUGGGCGUAAAGCGCGCGUAGGCGGUUUUUUAAGUCUGAUGUGAAAGCCCACGGCUCAACCGUGGAGGGUCAUUGGAAACUGGAAAACUUGAGUGCAGAAGAGGAAAGUGGAAUUCCAUGUGUAGCGGUGAAAUGCGCAGAGAUAUGGAGGAACACCAGUGGCGAAGGCGACUUUCUGGUCUGUAACUGACGCUGAUGUGCGAAAGCGUGGGGAUCAAACAGG